UGUUAGAGAGUUAAGUUUACGCUCUUGAAGAGGUAACAUCAACGACGAAGUCAGAUCAAGAUAGAAAUAUUAAGUGUGAUAUAUAAUCUAUAUAUAUAUAACCAAUCAAAGUUUAUAUAACUAUAAUAAAUAAAGUUUUGGAGCAACUAUUGUGUAUGCAUUGGUAAUCCUAACUGGCAAAAAGUAACCUGUAUGGCACGAGGUAAC
Molecule: non-coding RNA, 207 nt
Organism: Paramuricea clavata
Lineage: Eukaryota; Metazoa; Cnidaria; Anthozoa; Malacalcyonacea; Plexauridae
Source: the annotation of a GenBank genome assembly